RNAcentral lists this ribosomal RNA (253 nucleotides) under uncultured bacterium. Its description in RNAcentral is "partial 16S ribosomal RNA". It matches the Rfam family "Bacterial small subunit ribosomal RNA", at positions 524 to 776 of the family's 1533-position model. The record is from RNAcentral.
UACGUAGGGGGCAAGCGUUGUCCGGAAUCAUUGGGCGUAAAGCGCGUGUAGGCGGCCCGGUAAGUCCGCUGUGAAAGUCGGGGGCUCAACCCUCGAAUGCCGGUGGAUACUGUUGGGCUAGAGUGCGGGAGAGGCGAGUGGAAUUCCUGGUGUAGCGGUGAAAUGCGCAGAUAUCAGGAGGAACACCAAUUGCGAAGGCAGCUCGCUGGAACGUAACUGACGCUGAGACGCGAAAGCGUGGGGAGCAAACAGG